This 83-nucleotide non-coding RNA is filed under the name Escherichia coli. Its description in RNAcentral is "Nucleoid-associated noncoding RNA 4 (CssrE)". It matches the Rfam family "Nucleoid-associated noncoding RNA 4 (CssrE)". From Rfam's summary of the family: In E. coli small RNA transcribed from repeated extragenic palindromic element (REP325) called nucleoid-associated ncRNA 4 (nRNA4) collaborates HU protein in condensing the DNA. The secondary structure but not the sequence of the RNA is important in nucleoid condensation. Lineage: Bacteria; Pseudomonadati; Pseudomonadota; Gammaproteobacteria; Enterobacterales; Enterobacteriaceae. The record is from RNAcentral.
AGUCGGAUAAGGCGUUCACGCCGCAUCCGACACGGUAUUGGGGUGCAGAUGCCAGAUGCGACGCUGGCGCGUCUUAUCUGGCC